ACCACAUCAUCACCAAUAUCACAUCAUCACCCAUAUACUAUAAAUUAUAUUUUCAUUCUCUAAGUUUCAUAAAUGUUCUUAUAUGGUCCUUGUACUUUCAAAAAUCUCUAAUUAGAUCCUUUAAUUUUUCAAGUGUGAUUUAGUUUAACAUUUCCAGUAUGGUGAUAGAGAAGGUGAUGAUUCUGAUGUGGGAUAAGUUAUUGGAUGCAUUUAUAAAAGUGAAAAAUGGUAGCAUUAUUCCAAACAAAGGGGUUGCAUCCAGAUUCGGAGAUGGUCUUGAAGUAGAUCAAAUUCGGAUAUUCGAAAAUCAUCAUUGUGAACAUAGCGGUAAUAAUAGAAGAGUAUGUGGGAUCAGCAUUCUUAACUUUACUAUUGUCGAGCUCAUUGUUGCUAUCAAGUUUCUCUUCAAAAAAGAAUAAAUCAAUAAUUAUGGACUAUACAACUAA
Molecule: long non-coding RNA, 446 nt
Filed under: Elaeis guineensis (African oil palm)
Lineage: Eukaryota; Viridiplantae; Streptophyta; Magnoliopsida; Arecales; Arecaceae
Description: long non-coding RNA (EGUI_LNC032776)
Source: RNAcentral